Molecule: ribosomal RNA, 182 nt
Filed under: uncultured bacterium
Lineage: Bacteria
Description: partial 16S ribosomal RNA
Rfam family: Bacterial small subunit ribosomal RNA
Source: RNAcentral
CAUGAAGCUGGAAUCGCUAGUAAUCGCGAAUCAGAAUGUCGCGGUGAAUACGUUCCCGGGUCUUGUACACACCGCCCGUCACACCAUGGGAGUCGGAAAUGCCCGAAGUCAGUGACCCAACCGCAAGGAGGGAGCUGCCGAAGGCAGGUCCGGUAACUGGGGUGAAGUCGUAACAAGGUAGC